ACAACCCUGAUAGGUUCGUAAAGACUUUAUACUAAAGUCUUGCAUUCCAUACAUGAAAACUAAUAACCUAAAUAUUUCCCUAGCCAUUCUUUCUACAGAAACAUGGAGUUAUAAGAAACUUAAGAGGACUGUUUUUUAAGCCAGAAAACUCUCUCAGUUUCUGAGAGUCUCAGUAUUCCAGAGCCAAUUCUAUAUAUUGUUUAUUGCCUAGAUUGAUUUAAUGUAUGGUAACUGAUGUAAAUUUGUGUUGGCAUACAUGGCUCACAACCCGUGAAAACAGAGCUUCUCUUGUCAGUAUGCAUAAGGAGCACAUCUUUACAGAAGUAAUUUAUGCCAAAAUCUCUGCAUUUCAGAAUUUUUCUUAAAUAUACUGAAAGCAUAGAAAAAAUCUUGUAAUAGGUUCCAAGUUUUUAGCUAAUAUAAUAAAUGUGUGCAAAUCAACAACUAUUUUAAUUAAAUAUCAUUUAGAUAAUUUCUGUCACAUUUUCAUUAGUAUAUCCAUGACGUUAGCCUGCAAUAGCCUUCAACACAGUAAUAGCCUUAUUCUUUUAAAUAAUAAAUAAUUCACCUACCUUUGUCUCAUAUUUCUCUGAAGUCCUAAGCUUUACUUCCACCUCUGUACACGUGUGCUCAUCUGAGCUGCAUUUAAUUUUACUGAAGCAAGAAACAUUUAGAAAUAUUCAAGUUCUUCUGUGAUAUAUUUGUUCAGUGUAUCAAGAUAUUGACAUCUUGGUUCAGAGGUAGAAGAGAAGCUUGAUGAAACAGUCUUUUAUUCUAUACUCAUAGCUGUUUUUAUUUUUUUCUUUCUUUCUUUCUUUCUUCUCCCUUUGGUCUAAUUGUUUAUGAGGUAUUUUUUCAAGGGGACAAAUUCCAGUCUUGACAAGGACAACUGCUGGAAUUCUGGAGUUGCAUCUACUACUGCUAGUCUCAGCUUGUGGCAUUUUAUAAUGUACUUCGUGGCAACUGAUGACAGCAUAUUUCCUUCUAAUGUGACCUGGAGAGAAUAAAACACGGAAUCAUACUGUGGCAGAGAGAGAAACAGGAAAUACUCAAAGGCGUCAGCUCAAGCACAAGACAGAGGACACACUAUAUGGAUAUCUCAAAGUGUGCUUUAAACAGAUACAUCCAGAGAGAAUGACUGUAGGUAAGACUUAACUCUGUGCCUAAUGUAGAACAUGACAGACAAUAGGGUUUCAGUUCCGUGUGGAUGUACUCAAGGGAGGGAAAAAGCCUCUCCCUAAGGUGUUCAGCUGGAAGUGACUGAAGGACUUGGAGGACUGUUUCUCAUGUCACCAGAAGAAUGCUCAAUGCAAUUCACAAGAAAUAAUAACCUCUACUCCAAAUGUGUUUAUUGGAAAAAAAAAAAAAUAGAGACAUGAAGAAUGUUAAGAGAAAAAAUAUUUUUUAUAAGUAGAAUUAUUUUUAUCAGCUUUCCUAGAAGCAACACAGAAUUUCUUGAUUAGAAGGAACAGGAAUUAAAACUUGUGUUCAUGGUCUACAUUCAGCAAUUCCAAAAGCAAGCAUUUAGCUUUCCAUUUUGGUGUAAAAGCUUGUGUGGAACAGAACUGAUUUUCUUCAUAGUGUCUGGUGUGAUUCUGUAUUUUGUCUAUAGGAGAAAAACAAUGUUGAUGAUACACCAAUGUUUUAGUUGUUGCUGAGCAGUGCUGUACAGAGCCAUGAACCUUCCGGUUUUUCAGCUUCUCAUGAUGUCGUGCCAGCAAGGCGCUGGGACAGCAUAAGAAGCUGGGAGGGGGCAGGGCCAGCACAGCUGACCUGAAGUGGCCAAAGAGAUAUUCCGUACCAUAAGAUGUCAUAUGGAAAAACUAUAAAACUUAAAGUAGUUGGCUGGGGGAGAACCACUGCCUUGACACUGGGGACCGGCUUGGCAUUGACUGACAGGUGGUGAGUAAUUGCUUUGUGCAUCACUUGGAAUAUAUGUAAUUAUCAUUACUCUUAUCAUUACUCUCUCCUCCUUUUCUAUCUUAGUAAAUAGUUUUUAUCUUAACCUUCAAGUUCUAUGUUUUUUUUUCUGAUUCUAUGCCCUGUCCUACUGGGAGUGCAGGCAGCAGAAGACUGUGGAGUUUAGGUGCUUGAUGGGUUAAAGCACAACACCUUGGUGGAAGGCACUGGAGAUCUAUAUUUUUGCUCUGUAAAAGACAGAGGAAGCAGAAUACAAACAUUUAACUUUUCAGCAGUGUGAAAAUAAGAUAAAGCCUGCAAGAAGGGGGUAGAGGAAGAAAAUAAAGUUAUAAUUGAGGUGAUAUGUGUUUUUCUCACUCUUACUCUGAUGGGCAAAGAAAUACUGUAAAUGCUAUAUCAGGUAAUAACACAGCAGAAAAACUUUUCCUGAGCAGAAGGAAGCGAUUCAAUUCAUAAUUGUAAGGGAUGUAGUCAAGCUUACUGGAUGGUAUUCAGGAACAGUGUAAAUGGCUAUUAAAAUAUGGGUCUCAUUCAAAUUGCUGUGACAGGGCAGAGAGAACAUUGCAAGGUUAGGUCAUGACAAUUUUCAUGGUAGACUUAAGUCUAGCCAGCCAAUCAAUCAUCCAAUGAAUUUAAGAUUUUAACUAAACUAAGCUUGAAAUAGAGGUCCACAGUUAUAUCAAAGAUAAAAGCAUGAAGAAAUGUGGAAACAGAUUUAGAAACAAAUAAUUCAAAAAAAAGUAUCACCUAUUUUGAGUCCAUAAACUUACCAUCACACUGAGGUAAGAGCAGCCUUUGGAAAAGUCCGGUUAAAGUAAAUUUUCGCAGCAUAAAUAUCACAUGGCAAACUCUUACUAAAUGAAUAUGUUGUCUAUAUGAUGUUUCUUGUAUUAUAAGUUAUACUAUAUCAGAUCAGAAAUAAUUUUCUACAGAAAAUCUACAGAAAAGUGUAGAAACUUUUCUGCAUAAGAUACAUGUGAAUUUACCAAAACUGCCAAAAGAAUUUUUAAAAAGUAAGAUAAAUAAUGAGAGAAAAUGGUAUUAUAUACAAUCUGGGUAUUUUAGUUUAUUUUUAAAAUACGUGUUGCUGUGAAUGUCGUGCAAAGUUAACAAUUCAAAAUAUCUUUUUUUGCAAGCCUUACUAGUAUAAUUUCUAAUUCUUGGUCAUCUUAGUGUGUCAAAAAUAUGAAAUAAGACUCUAAGAUAUUUUCUUUGACAUGUAUGUCAUCUGUUUUUUUGUUGUUGUUUUGUUGUUGAUGUUUUGUUUUGUUUCUUUUUUUAACAUUACUAGGGGCUGUUUCACCAAAAAAAAAAACCAACCAAACAAACAAACAAAAAAACUUUCUACUCAAAGUAUUUGAAACACUGCAUCCAGAAGUACUGCCAUCGGGAGUAGUGCAUCCAGGACUUGGGCGCACAGCACAACGAAGACUUGGAACAGUUGGAGUGGGUCCAGAGGAGGGCUGUGAGGACGAUUACAGUGCUGAAGAAUUUCCCUUAUAAAGAAAGGGUGACUUGUUUAGCCUGGAAGAAUAGAAAACUUGGGGAGAACUCCCAGCUUUCAAGUACUUGAGGGGAGCUUAUAAGCAGGAGGGAGACCAGUUUUUUACAAGUUCUGAUAGUAAGAUAUCAAAAUAUAUAUCAGAAUAUCAAAAGAUAUGAUAAGACAAGGGGGAAUGUUUUUAAACUAAAACAGGAGAGAUUUACAUCAGAUAUUAGGGAGAAAUUUUUCAGUGAGAGGAGGUUGAGGCACUGGAACAGAUGGUCAAGAGAAGCUGCGGAUGCUCCAUUCCUGGAGGCAUUCAAGGUCAAGUUGGAUGGGGCCCUGGGCAGCCUGAGCUGGUGGGUGGCAACCCUGUCCACAGCAGGAGGGUUGGAACUGGAUGAGCUUUAAGAUCCCUUCCAACCAAAGCCAUUCUGUGAUCCUAUGAUUCUUCUCAUCUCAUUGGAUUCCAGAACUAAGAGAGAGCAUCAAAAAAGAAGACAAAGGGAUUUCUCAGAUAGUCAGAAAUGUUGCAAAACAGCAUAUCUAAAUGAAAUCACCUAGUCAGAAUAUAUAUUGACAAGAUAGAAGUACAGAUUUUACUUUCCCAGCACGUUUUCUAAAUGAAAAAAUUCAAGUCAGUAGAUAACCAAAAAAUAGAUGCUGUUUUCUGCAACAAACAAACAAACAAACAAAUAAAUAAAUAAAUAAAGCUUGACUGUUAUGAAAGGAAAUCUUGUUGGCUUUUUUUUUUUUUUUUUUUUUUCCCAGUUCUAAAGAAAUUCAGGUAAGUAGAAGAAUCAAGGACCAAUAAAUUUUAUCCAGAGAAGUUUAGAAAAUUCAAGAGGCAAAAAAUUCUUCCAAAUGUGUUAAAACAUUGAACACUACAAAGUCUUAGUGAAUUUGGUUCCAGAUGACCGUCCCAAUGUUAAAACUUAAUCAUAUGUAGCGCAGCCAAUUAACUUCUCUGCUUUUCCAUGAAGAGUGUAUGAAUUGAGAUGAUCACGAAGACAUUUAAAAUUCUAUGUAUAAUAUUCAAUUAUAGGGUUCUCAGUAGGAAUAGUACUAUGGCAUGUGCAUAGUAAAAGUUUAACUUGAGCGCAGAAGAGAAGAUAAAAUUUCAAUUAAAGAUUUCAAUAUAUUCUUUACGACCAGACAAAUG
Long non-coding RNA from Gallus gallus (chicken), 4565 nucleotides. RefSeq lists it as uncharacterized. The record is from RefSeq and is a predicted model, not a curated record. NCBI's taxonomy places the organism in Eukaryota, Metazoa, Chordata, Aves, Galliformes, Phasianidae. The transcript is spliced from 3 exons.